Molecule: long non-coding RNA, 515 nt
Filed under: Equus caballus (horse)
Lineage: Eukaryota; Metazoa; Chordata; Mammalia; Perissodactyla; Equidae
Description: lncRNA (ENSECAG00000058795.1)
Source: RNAcentral
CUCCUGACAGAGCCUCCUGGGACACUCCAGAGCUGGUCCACUUCCCCUGCCCUGAGUGUCUGUGGCUUCCUCUCCUUCACCACUCACCACAAUUUAAUCAGGUUCCGUCUCCAGUGCCUGGCUCUCAACAGGAACUUCUGUUGUUGCAUGUUGAAAAUUUUCAACAAGCAGAAAUCGGCUGAGGGUGCAUUCCAAGAGAGGGAACAGCAUAAGCAAAGGCUCUGAGGCCAGAGUGGGAAGCAUCUCUCCAUCCCUUCCACUUCCCUCAGGGGCCAAUGAAUGGAUGGGGUUUCCCAAAGCCACACCCACUCUUUCCUGGCCAGCCAACAACGGACUCCACUGUAGGUGUUGAAGGCAAAUCUACGCCGUUUCCCAGAAGUCUCUGCAGCACCAACCCUCAGCUGCCCACUGCUGUACGCUGCUCAUUAGCACACCCUUCGCGGGCUCCAGCCCUUCCUGUCUCACGUCUCCACUCUCGCCUCCACUCUACCACCUCCCAAAUAAACUGCUUGCCC